CUCCUACCAUUGUCUUAAUCCCACCAUGCUGCUCAUACCAACUCCCAAACCAACUAUUUGGAUUAUACCCGUUUCAAGUCUGAGUGGGUACGUGCUCCAGUUUAACCAUAUUGCUGGUAAUAUCAAUCACUGCCUGCCCCUCAUCAUCUAUAUGCAAACAACAAUUACUAGGGUUAUACUUUCCACACACACCUCCCUCUACUGCCAGCAAAUAAUCAAGAGCCAACCUAUUUUGGUAAAUGGCUGAUCUCAUGCGGGUAUUUUGCUUCAUCAAAAGGUUAAGGGCCUUAGCU
Molecule: non-coding RNA, 293 nt
Organism: Pelobates cultripes (western spadefoot toad)
Lineage: Eukaryota; Metazoa; Chordata; Amphibia; Anura; Pelobatidae
Source: the annotation of a GenBank genome assembly